UACGUAGGGGGCUAGCGUUGUCCGGAAUCAUUGGGCGUAAAGCGCGUGUAGGCGGCCCGGUAAGUCCGCUGUGAAAGUCGGGGGCUCAACCCUCGGAUGCCGGUGGAUACUGUCGGGCUAGAGUACGGAAGAGGCGAGUGGAAUUCCUGGUGUAGCGGUGAAAUGCGCAGAUAUCAGGAGGAACACCGGUGGCGAAGGCGGUGGUCUGGGCCGGCACUGACGCUGAGACGCGAAAGCGUGGGGAGCAAACAGG
Molecule: ribosomal RNA, 253 nt
Filed under: uncultured bacterium
Lineage: Bacteria
Description: partial 16S ribosomal RNA
Rfam family: Bacterial small subunit ribosomal RNA
Source: RNAcentral